RNAcentral lists this ribosomal RNA (253 nucleotides) under uncultured bacterium. RNAcentral's name for it is "partial 16S ribosomal RNA". It matches the Rfam family "Bacterial small subunit ribosomal RNA", at positions 524 to 776 of the family's 1533-position model. The record is from RNAcentral.
UACGAAGGGGGCUAGCGUUGCUCGGAAUUACUGGGCGUAAAGGGCGCGUAGGCGGAUACUUAAGUUAGAGGUGAAAGCCCAGGGCUCAACCCUCGGAUGCCGGUGGAUACUGGCGGGCUUGAGUACGGAAGAGGCGAGUGGAAUUCCUGGUGUAGCGGUGAAAUGCGCAGAUAUCAGGAGGAACACCAAUUGCGAAGGCAGCUCGCUGGGACGUUACUGACGCUGAGACGCGAAAGCGUGGGGAGCAAACAGG